CUUCACUGAAAAACAAAAAUGCUUUCUGAGUACUAACCAAUAAAACUAAUCUUAUCUCUUCUUCCCAGAUGGUGCAAUAAAGACCUAAAAAUAUCAAAGAAGUUUUCUAAAACAUUACAAGUAAGUGGAAGAAAGAGGAAUAGGGGACCUUAACUCCUCAUUCUAGGAUUAGUAGACUGCAAUUUGUGACUGCAGGUGUGAGAAUGGCCUUUUGAAAUGGACCCGAUGAAGUUUGUCCUUGCCAGGUCUCCUGUACCCUUUGCCCAGUGCUCCCAUGCCUGUCAAAUAUGUCAAAAACAGAGGGGAUUUUCAUCAGUUGUGUUGGCUCCUUCCUUCACUUCCUGGAACUCAUGUGAGAAUGCACGUCCCCCCCCCCACUGGAAGCAAUUUACUAUGGUAAUAUUGGAGAGUACUGUAAAUAAUCCUGAUUGCAGUGCCCAGAAAGCUUUAUAAUCAGAGAGACCACGUGAAUACAAACUGUGACCGUUUCAAAGGCAAUUUCCUGACCACCACCUCAAAGCACAUGUCAGACACAAAAGUUGUGCCAAUCUACGAGCUCCAAUUGAAAUGAUAGAGUUCACUGCAAGUUCAGCCUGAAUUGGGCUUAAAUGAAAUGAAAUUGAUAGCAGAUGAAAGCUCAACAGGUUGCAGAAUAAUUAUAUACUUGUUACGAUGUUCUCACUAAUUGGAGCACUAGCUCAGUGAACCUCAUCUUCUGGAACUGCUACUGGGGUAACUGGCAGACACAUCUGUUUGGUACGAAUCUGCAUAUUUGCUCAUUUGCCAAAAAUGUAAAGUGGAGCCCUGAAUUAGUUUCAGUUCGCUUCAUCACUUCCAAGCUGAAGAAUCAGCGGAAUAUAUCACAGUGCUUCCCCCCUCCCCUCGACAUGCCAGAUUACAUCCACAAGUGAACGUUCACAAAAGGCAACCUUAAGAAGCAGGCUGUCUGCAAUGGUGAUGGACAGAGACGCCUACACCCUCUGCAUGAACAUGUACUGCUCUCAUUUAUCUAACUAGGGGCCCCGUGCUCAUACCAAAGGGACGGCUGAUAAAAAGACACUCUCGAGAAGCUCUUAUUUUCAAGAUGAAGGUGAAACUUGUAUUUUCUUAAAGGAAGGCCCCUUUGGCUCAUAUUUCAUUCCCUUUGGCAAUGUGUGCAUUCAUAGAUAAGUAUUUUCCUCGUGUCUUCAAACGUUGUGCUUCUAACCGAAUUAAAGUUCAACCUUCAUUAAUCCCGGUGGGGUUCUCUCUAAAAUAACUUGUCG
Molecule: long non-coding RNA, 1265 nt
Filed under: Vulpes vulpes (red fox)
Lineage: Eukaryota; Metazoa; Chordata; Mammalia; Carnivora; Canidae
Description: lncRNA (ENSVVUG00000017814.1)
Source: RNAcentral